This 1553-nucleotide ribosomal RNA is filed under the name Salmonella enterica subsp. enterica serovar Infantis. RNAcentral's name for it is "bacterial SSU rRNA". It matches the Rfam family "Bacterial small subunit ribosomal RNA". The record is from RNAcentral. Lineage: Bacteria; Pseudomonadati; Pseudomonadota; Gammaproteobacteria; Enterobacterales; Enterobacteriaceae.
AAAUUGAAGAGUUUGAUCAUGGCUCAGAUUGAACGCUGGCGGCAGGCCUAACACAUGCAAGUCGAACGGUAACAGGAAGCAGCUUGCUGCUUUGCUGACGAGUGGCGGACGGGUGAGUAAUGUCUGGGAAACUGCCUGAUGGAGGGGGAUAACUACUGGAAACGGUGGCUAAUACCGCAUAACGUCGCAAGACCAAAGAGGGGGACCUUCGGGCCUCUUGCCAUCAGAUGUGCCCAGAUGGGAUUAGCUAGUUGGUGAGGUAACGGCUCACCAAGGCGACGAUCCCUAGCUGGUCUGAGAGGAUGACCAGCCACACUGGAACUGAGACACGGUCCAGACUCCUACGGGAGGCAGCAGUGGGGAAUAUUGCACAAUGGGCGCAAGCCUGAUGCAGCCAUGCCGCGUGUAUGAAGAAGGCCUUCGGGUUGUAAAGUACUUUCAGCGGGGAGGAAGGUGUUGUGGUUAAUAACCGCAGCAAUUGACGUUACCCGCAGAAGAAGCACCGGCUAACUCCGUGCCAGCAGCCGCGGUAAUACGGAGGGUGCAAGCGUUAAUCGGAAUUACUGGGCGUAAAGCGCACGCAGGCGGUCUGUCAAGUCGGAUGUGAAAUCCCCGGGCUCAACCUGGGAACUGCAUUCGAAACUGGCAGGCUUGAGUCUUGUAGAGGGGGUAGAAUUCCAGGUGUAGCGGUGAAAUGCGUAGAGAUCUGGAGGAAUACCGGUGGCGAAGGCGGCCCCCUGGACAAAGACUGACGCUCAGGUGCGAAAGCGUGGGGAGCAAACAGGAUUAGAUACCCUGGUAGUCCACGCCGUAAACGAUGUCUACUUGGAGGUUGUGCCCUUGAGGCGUGGCUUCCGGAGCUAACGCGUUAAGUAGACCGCCUGGGGAGUACGGCCGCAAGGUUAAAACUCAAAUGAAUUGACGGGGGCCCGCACAAGCGGUGGAGCAUGUGGUUUAAUUCGAUGCAACGCGAAGAACCUUACCUGGUCUUGACAUCCACAGAACUUUCCAGAGAUGGAUUGGUGCCUUCGGGAACUGUGAGACAGGUGCUGCAUGGCUGUCGUCAGCUCGUGUUGUGAAAUGUUGGGUUAAGUCCCGCAACGAGCGCAACCCUUAUCCUUUGUUGCCAGCGGUUAGGCCGGGAACUCAAAGGAGACUGCCAGUGAUAAACUGGAGGAAGGUGGGGAUGACGUCAAGUCAUCAUGGCCCUUACGACCAGGGCUACACACGUGCUACAAUGGCGCAUACAAAGAGAAGCGACCUCGCGAGAGCAAGCGGACCUCAUAAAGUGCGUCGUAGUCCGGAUUGGAGUCUGCAACUCGACUCCAUGAAGUCGGAAUCGCUAGUAAUCGUGGAUCAGAAUGCCACGGUGAAUACGUUCCCGGGCCUUGUACACACCGCCCGUCACACCAUGGGAGUGGGUUGCAAAAGAAGUAGGUAGCUUAACCUUCGGGAGGGCGCUUACCACUUUGUGAUUCAUGACUGGGGUGAAGUCGUAACAAGGUAACCGUAGGGGAACCUGCGGUUGGAUCACCUCCUUACCUGAAAGAAGC